UAGCGGCAGGCUUAACACAUGCAAGUCGAGGGGCAGCGCGGGGUAGCAAUACCCUGGCGGCGACCGGCGAAAGGGUGAGUAACGCGUGAGCAACGUGCCCGUAUGUGGGGGAUAGUCAUUAGAAAUGAUGCGUAAUACCCCGUAACACAUGGAUCCGCAUGGUUCCAUGUUGAAAGAUUUAUUGCAUACGGAUCGGCUCGCGUGCCAUUAGCUAGAUGGCGGGGUAACGGCCCACCAUGGCGACGAUGGCUAGGGGUUCUGAGAGGAAGGUCCCCCACAUUGGAACUGAGACACGGUCCAGACUCCUACGGGAGGCAGCAGUGAGGAAUAUUGGACAAUGGCCGGAAGGCUGAUCCAGCCAUGCCGCGUGCGGGAAGACGGCCCUAUGGGUUGUAAACCGCUUUUGCGGGGGAGCAAUAAGAGCAACGCGUUGCUCGAUGAGAGUACCCUGCGAAUAAGCAUCGGCUAACUCCGUGCC
This 478-nucleotide ribosomal RNA is filed under the name uncultured bacterium. RNAcentral's name for it is "bacterial SSU rRNA". It matches the Rfam family "Bacterial small subunit ribosomal RNA", at positions 37 to 509 of the family's 1533-position model. The record is from RNAcentral.